CUUCGCUGUGCCUCCGCCCAGCCCCCACGGCGUCCGCUGGGCCAGCUCUGCAGUCGGGGUCUUUUGAAGCCCCCAUCCCGCGGCUGCUGGAGCGGAUGAGUUAUUUAGUAAAAGAGAAGAUAAGAAGAAAUUUCAUCUUCCUUGAAAUCCAGGAUAUGGUGCUUUUCUGAUUUUCAGACAGUUCUUUCAUGGAUUGAAGACAAUUGUUCUAUUUUAUAAUGGAAACUCACCAACUCUUAGAAGGAUUUUAAUGUGAAAAUGGCAACAUGAGAAACGUACAUAGUUUCGAAGGACCAUCAGUUUCAGGAACUGCCUUUGCCAGCCUCCCUGUAUGCCUUCACACCCAAUACCUGCCCCUCACAGGAACCCUGGGCAAUCUCUUGCUUUGCAACCAAGGAACUGGUGUAUGUGGAUGAGAAAUGGUGUCCUAAGGGCAGAAGAGUUUUGCGCUGAGGAAACAUGUCAGCUUCACCGGCUUUGUCUACUAACCCCAUGCCUGGGGAAUUAUAAGGAAAGGAUUUGGGCACCACGUUGUCUGCAGCAUGAAUCCUGCCAGGCUGUGGCUGUCACCAAGGUUAUUGGACACUCCUCCCUGAGCAGGACCCACCUGGGAGGCAUGCAGAUGACAAGUGCCACUCAACCUUGUCCUCAGUGCCUGCUGGGCCCUGUGUGCACACUCAGGGAAUGAGAGGAACUGUGGAGCAAGUGGGGACUUAAGACUUCGAAACCUGCUAAAAAUGAGCUUUCCAGACCUACCCAUCUAGGAAUAAACCAUCUCAGCCCUGAGAGAUCUGAUGAAACCUGAGACCAGAGAUUCAUUUUCUUGUAAAAUGCUUUCUCCAAAAGACUUUGUAAAGAAAAGGGGGAAAUGUGAAAGGAAAAUACCUCGGGCUCUUUCAAGCUGGGAACUGCGCAGGGCAAAUCGGCCUCCCAUUCUCAUUCUAUUCAAGUCAUCCCUUUGCUCACACAGAUAGAUGCAUAUUCUGAUUGCCUUCUUGGAAGAAACUUAACAGAAACUCUAAAGAAUGCAACCAUAUCUGUUUCUUACCUAUUUGUGACCUGGAAGCCCCUGGGGAGGGUUGGGGCAGGAAACCUUGCUUUGAGCUGUCUCCGCCUUUCUGGACAGAACAAUGUACUUCUUACAUAUGAUGGAUGGUUCAUGUCUCCCUAAAAUGUAUAAAACCAAGCUGUGCCCCAACCACCUUGGGAAAAUAUCACCAGGACUUCCUGAGCCUAUGUCAUGGGCACAUCCUCAAUCCUGGCAAAAUAAACUUGCUAAAUUAACUGAGACCUGUCUCAAAGUUUCGAGAUUCACACUCCUAUGCAAGGAAGGCAGGCAACAUGUUUUCUAAUGCCACACGAAAUGAAAGCACAAAAUGAAACGUGGACGCUUGAAAGAACAGUCUUUCUAUAAGUUAUUGUGACAUGCUCCAUAAUUUAUUGAC
Molecule: long non-coding RNA, 1445 nt
Organism: Rhinopithecus roxellana (golden snub-nosed monkey)
Lineage: Eukaryota; Metazoa; Chordata; Mammalia; Primates; Cercopithecidae
Exons: 5
Source: RefSeq, a predicted model, not a curated record